GUCAGGGGCGGAGGAUAGGGCCAUGAGAGAUGUGGUUCAAUUGCUGACUAGAUUAGUGGCAGAUCAGGCUCGCAGGCAUGGACUAGGAGUUGAUCAUGCGGACAGAUCUGAUAGCUUAAGGGCUCGUGACUUCUUAAGUUGUAAUCCUCCAGAGUUCUUUGGGUCAAGGCCCCAGGAUGAUCCGCAAGAGUUUAUUCGUCAGAUGCAGCGUACAUUGAGGAUAAUCAAGGCUUCGGAGACCGAGUCUGUUGAGUUGGCUACGUAUCAUUUGCGGGAUGUAGCUAUUAAUUGGUAUGAGUCUUGGGAGUUAUCUAGGGGUGAGGGUGCUCCUCCAGCGGUAUGGGAUGAAUUUGUGGAGGCUUUCCAG
This 367-nucleotide long non-coding RNA is filed under the name Solanum lycopersicum (tomato). RNAcentral's name for it is "partial TCONS_00196021". The record is from RNAcentral. Lineage: Eukaryota; Viridiplantae; Streptophyta; Magnoliopsida; Solanales; Solanaceae.